Long non-coding RNA from Lycium ferocissimum, 1706 nucleotides. RefSeq lists it as uncharacterized. NCBI's taxonomy places the organism in Eukaryota, Viridiplantae, Streptophyta, Magnoliopsida, Solanales, Solanaceae. The transcript is spliced from 3 exons. The record is from RefSeq and is a predicted model, not a curated record.
UAUUCACACUUCCGUUUGCUGACAAGUAGCUUGUCCAAAAACCAAUUACAGAUGAAUGUAAGUGAAGCAAGAAAAUUUUAUCAAAAUGGGGCCGCAGAAUUAUCAGUAAGUCGCCUGACAUCACAAAGCAAACAGACCAAAGGGGAACUAUUUCCAGGAAUCGAAUGUAGCUCCAGUGUUCGAGCAACUAUUCUUCCUUUAGGAUGUCGAGCUCAAAUACUUUCUCUGCCGCUACCAAGUUCUAUUGUAGAAGUGUAGAGUUUAUUGAUACCAAUCCACUGUCAAAUCUAGAUGUGGUAGAAAUAGUCAGCGGAUAGGAACUAAUUACUGAAACAAGUCAAUCUAGCCGGUGGUUUAAGUAGUUCAGAGCAACUCCAGUGUUAAAGGAACAACCGAAAAAAGUACUGGAAGUAUGAUUUUUGUUAUCUCAGAAUUGGAGUUGUGUGACAUAUUAGAGAAUUAGAAUCAGAGCUAUCAAAGGAGAUGAACAUGUACAUGGCUAUCAGAAACAUUGAUGUUGGAAAAUGACUGCAUCAAAUUAUUGGAUUUUCUAAUUCUUUUUUCCCCGGAAUCUAGCAUUCUUUAGUUCUUCAUAUUGCUGGCAAAGCUAGAAGGUUACAGUCAUUUAUCACGGCAUUCAGAAGGUCAAAGAGAUUUUAAUUUUGCUGGAAUAUUGCGCAUUCAGAUGAUAAAAAAGUCACGAAGGAUUUUUUAGUACCAAGUUUCAGAUUGACUUUUUUGUUUAUAUGGUUCAUGUGGAAAGAUGUAUUUUUGGUGGUAAGGUUGUAGUCACUUUAUUAACUAUAUCUGUUCCCAUGAUCAUGUCUUUCUGCAGAUGUAUACCUAACAAUAUAAAGAUUUUACCGUGUUAUCAUUGGUAGAUGAAGAUGCCUUUGAAGUUUAUUAACUAUACCUGUUCCCAAAGGUAGCGACUGAUCCAUGGGUUUAAAACUUCUUAAUAUAUUAUUUUGAUGCUCUCUCUGAUUGUUAUAUUAGAAGUAAUCUUGUAUUCAACUCUCUCUAGUUCUGACAGGGAGGUCGGGAAAAAGAUAAAACAAUCAAAGAUGCAACGCAACGUUAGACAGUGGAGGAAGCUAGAGAACGAGGGGAUGUUAAGCAAACUGGGAAGAUGGUACUUUGAGAACAAAACCGGUAAUACUGCCUAUGAAGGGCACAUGUUUCCUCUGUUUGUAACAGAAGUACAGAACAACUAGACUCUUGGCCUGAGAAAGAGAUUCACGAAAGAACUUGGAUGAAUGUUGAAGAAGCGAGAAAACUUUGCCAUAAUGGGUGGAUGAAGGAGGCUUUGAGCAAUUAGUAAGUCACCUCACAUCACAAAGUAAAACGGACCAAAGGGGAAAUAUUCCCAGGAAUCUUGUGUAGCUCCAACACUUGAGCUGAAAUACUUUCUCCCCACCACCAAGUUCUACUGAAGAAGCAUAGUCUCCAUUGACAUCUAUUGUCAAAUGUUAUAUGGUGGAAGCAGCUUGUGAAUAGGAGUUAAGUACUGUCAAAUGUUACAUGGUCAAUCCAGCACGCGAAAAGUAGUUCAGAGGAAUGAGUUUAGUGAAACUCCAGAUUUAGAACCAGUGGCAAAUGACAUCUGCACAUUGGCUUUAGGCUUAAGAAACAAAGUCUUUUGAAUAGUCAAUAUUAGUUGUAAUAGCUAGUAGCAAGUUGAAUUAACUAGUGGCAUAUGUAAAUAC